GGGCGAAUGGUUUAGUGGUAUAAUACUCCCUUAGCAUGUGUUGAAUUAUCAGCAUCACGCUUGGGAGUGGUCCGGGGUUCGAUUCCCCGUUUGUCCA
RNAcentral lists this transfer RNA (97 nucleotides) under Claviceps pazoutovae. RNAcentral describes it as "tRNA-Ala". It matches the Rfam family "tRNA". Rfam says of the family: Transfer RNA (tRNA) molecules are approximately 80 nucleotides in length. Their secondary structure includes four short double-helical elements and three loops (D, anti-codon, and T loops). Further hydrogen bonds mediate the characteristic L-shaped molecular structure. tRNAs have two regions of fundamental functional importance: the anti-codon, which is responsible for specific mRNA codon recognition, and the 3' end, to which the tRNAs corresponding amino acid is attached (by aminoacyl-tRNA synthetases). tRNAs cope with the degeneracy of the genetic code in two manners: having more than one tRNA (with a specific anti-codon) for a particular amino acid; and 'wobble' base-pairing, i.e. permitting non-standard base-pairing at the 3rd anti-codon position. Lineage: Eukaryota; Fungi; Ascomycota; Sordariomycetes; Hypocreales; Clavicipitaceae. The record is from RNAcentral.